GAAAUCCUGGGAUGUGCGAGGCCCCUUCCAUUUUUGAACCUACAUUGACAAGAAGGGAAUCCAACAUCGCAAAUGUGAUGUCAGACCUCUCGUUGUGGUAGGCAGAUCAUUUUGUUGAGGACACCCACCUAGCGGCGGCUAGGCGUCAAAAAGAAGGGAACGGCAUUCCGGGAGUUAA
RNAcentral lists this non-coding RNA (178 nucleotides) under Candidatus Blautia excrementipullorum. RNAcentral's name for it is "6S RNA". It matches the Rfam family "6S / SsrS RNA". From Rfam's summary of the family: E. coli 6S RNA was the first non coding RNA to be sequenced, but its function was unknown until recently. It consists of 184 nucleotides that fold into an extended hairpin structure with a large single-stranded internal bulge. The record is from RNAcentral. Lineage: Bacteria; Bacillati; Bacillota; Clostridia; Lachnospirales; Lachnospiraceae.